UCAGUCUUNAGAUCGAGAGAGGNGAGUGGAACUCCGAGUGUAGAGGNGAAANUUGUAGAUAUUNGGAAGAACACCAGUGGNGAAGGCGGCUCACUGGCUCGAUACUGACGCUGAGGUACGAAAGCGUGGGGAGCAAACANGAUUAGAUACCCUGGUAGUNCNCGCCGUAAACGAUGAAUGCUAGUUGUCAGGUAGCUUGCUAUUUGGUGACGCAGCUAACGCAUUAAGCAUUCCGCCUGGGGAGUACGGUCGCAAGAUUNAAACUCAAANGAAUUGACGGGGGNCCGCACAANCGGUGGAGCAUGUGGUUUAAUUNGAAGCAACGCGCAGAACCUUNNCAGCCCCUGACAUUUGACGCUACAUCUGGAGACAGAUGGUUNCUUUNNGGGACGUCAGGACAGGUGCUGCAUGGCUGUCGUCAGCUCGUGUCGUGAGAUGUUGGGUUAAGACCCGCAACGAGCGCAACCCUCGCCCUUAGUUGCCAGCAUUUAGUUGGGCACUCUAGGGGGNCUGCCGGUGAUAAGCCGGAGGAAGGUGGGGAUGACGUCAAGUCCUCAUGGNCCUUACGGGCUGGGCUACACACGUGCUACAAUNNNNNNGNCAGUGGGCAGCGACCUCGCGAGGGGUAGCUAAUCUCUAAAAGCCGUCUCAGUUCGGAUUGUUCUCUGCAACUCGAGAGCAUGAAGUNGGAAUCGCUAGUAAUCGCGUAACA
This 712-nucleotide ribosomal RNA is filed under the name bacterium GAA02. RNAcentral's name for it is "partial 16S ribosomal RNA". It matches the Rfam family "Bacterial small subunit ribosomal RNA", at positions 636 to 1351 of the family's 1533-position model. The record is from RNAcentral.